RNAcentral lists this long non-coding RNA (203 nucleotides) under Lathyrus oleraceus (garden pea). Its description in RNAcentral is "Pisum sativum (pea) long non-coding RNA (PSAT_LNC033182)". Lineage: Eukaryota; Viridiplantae; Streptophyta; Magnoliopsida; Fabales; Fabaceae. The record is from RNAcentral.
AUUCCGGUGUCAGGUCAUACAUGAACCUGUUCUGAAGAGUUUUCUCCUUGAUUAUUCCCCAGCGUUGUCAGGUCUUAUAUGAACCUGUCAUAGCAUCUUUUUCUUUGUUCGGUUGUAUUCUAAGUGCCGUUUAUCAAAUCUCACUUUGAAUACUCCCCAGUGUGUGCCUGAUUCUCCAAGCAGGACUGUCUCCCCAGCAAGUU